This 915-nucleotide ribosomal RNA is filed under the name uncultured Psychrobacter sp. Its description in RNAcentral is "bacterial SSU rRNA". It matches the Rfam family "Bacterial small subunit ribosomal RNA", at positions 8 to 916 of the family's 1533-position model. Lineage: Bacteria; Pseudomonadati; Pseudomonadota; Gammaproteobacteria; Moraxellales; Moraxellaceae. The record is from RNAcentral.
AGAGUUUGAUCCUGGCUCAGAUUGAACGCUGGCGGCAGGCUUAACACAUGCAAGUCGAGCGGAAACGAUGGUAGCUUGCUACCAGGCGUCGAGCGGCGGACGGGUGAGUAAUACUUAGGAAUCUACCUAGUAGUGGGGGAUAGCUCGGGGAAACUCGAAUUAAUACCGCAUACGACCUACGGGAGAAAGGGGGCAACUUGUUGCUCUCGCUAUUAGAUGAGCCUAAGUCGGAUUAGCUAGAUGGGGGGGUAAAGGCCUACCAUGGCGACGAUCUGUAGCUGGUCUGAGAGGAUGAUCAGCCACACCGGGACUGAGACACGGCCCGGACUCCUACGGGAGGCAGCAGUGGGGAAUAUUGGACAAUGGGGGCAACCCUGAUCCAGCCAUGCCGCGUGUGUGAAGAAGGCCUUUUGGUUGUAAAGCACUUUAAGCAGUGAAGAAGACUCCGUGGUUAAUACCCACGGACGAUGACAUUAGCUGCAGAAUAAGCACCGGCUAACUCUGUGCCAGCAGCCGCGGUAAUACAGAGGGUGCAAGCGUUAAUCGGAAUUACUGGGCGUAAAGCGAGCGAAGGUGGCUUGAUAAGUCAGAUGUGAAAUCCCCGGGCUUAACCUGGGAACUGCAUCUGAUACUGUUAGGCUAGAAUAGGUGAGAGGAAGGUAGAAUUCCAGGUGUAGCGGUGAAAUGCGUAGAGAUCUGGAGGAAUACCGAUGGCGAAGGCAGCCUUCUGGCAUCAUAUUGACACUGAGGUUCGAAAGCGUGGGUAGCAAACAGGAUUAGAUACCCUGGUAGUCCACGCCGUAAACGAUGUCUACUAGUCGUUGGGUCCCUUGAGGACUUAGUGACGCAGCUAACGCAAUAAGUAGACCGCCUGGGGAGUACGGCCGCAAGGUUAAAACUCAAAGGAAUUGACGG